AAAGGGGUGCCCGCAAGGGCUGAGAUUAUACCCUCAAAACCUGAUGCAGGCAAUGCUGCCGUAGGAAUUGAGCC
RNAcentral lists this non-coding RNA (74 nucleotides) under pig gut metagenome. Its description in RNAcentral is "TPP riboswitch (THI element)". It matches the Rfam family "TPP riboswitch aptamer (THI element)", at positions 9 to 90 of the family's 105-position model. Rfam says of the family: Vitamin B(1) in its active form thiamin pyrophosphate (TPP) is an essential coenzyme that is synthesised by coupling of pyrimidine and thiazole moieties in bacteria. The previously detected thiamin-regulatory element, thi box was extended, resulting in a new, highly conserved RNA secondary structure, the THI element, which is widely distributed in eubacteria and also occurs in some archaea. The record is from RNAcentral.